Molecule: ribosomal RNA, 1547 nt
Filed under: metagenome
Description: bacterial LSU rRNA
Rfam family: Bacterial large subunit ribosomal RNA
Source: RNAcentral
UCCAGAGUAAAGCUGAUCUGCUCUGGGUAAGUCGGGGCCUAAGGAGAGGCAGAGAUGCGUAUCCGAUGGACAGCAGGUUUAAGAUUCCUGCACCCCUUGUUAUCAGAACUGCGGGGACACGGGAAGGGAAGCAGAGCCGGGAAUGGAAAGCCCGGUGCAAGCGAAGUAGUCGCAGGGUUGGAAAAUCCGCCCUGCAUGAGACGAAGGCGUGAUGCGGAGCGAAAUGAAGUAGUGAAGCUGCGGCCCCUUCCUGUCGAGAAGAGCCGCUAUCGUGUAGCAAGGGCCCGUACCGUAAUCCGACACAGGUGGAUGAGGAGAGGAUCCUAAGGCCGGCGGGAGAAGUGUUGUUAAGGAACUCGGCAAAAUGACUCCGUAACUUCGGGAGAAGGAGUGCUGCGCAAGCAGCCGCAGAGAAAUGGCCCAAGCAACUGUUUAGCAAAAACACAGGUCUAUGCGAAACCGAAAGGUGAGGUAUAUGGGCUGACGCCUGCCCGGUGCUGGAAGGUUAAGGGGAGAGCUUAGCGCGAGCGAAGGUUUGAACUUAAGCCCCAGUAAACGGCGGCCGUAACAAUAACGGUCCUAAGGUAGCGAAAUUCCUUGUCGGGUAAGUUCCGACCCGCACGAAAGGCGUAAUGAUUUGGGCACUGUCUCAACAACACACCCGGUGAAAUUGAAAUACCAGUGAAGAUGCUGGUUACCCGCGCCAGGACGGAAAGACCCCAUGGAGCUUUACUCCAGCCUGAUACUGGGAUUCGGUAUUGCAUGUACAGGAUAGGUGGGAGGCUAAGAACUCAUGGCGCCAGCCGUGAGGGAGCCGAUGUUGGGAUACCACCCCUGCAGUACUGGGUUUCUAACCUGCGCCCGUGACCCGGGCGGGGGACAAUGUCAGGCGGGGAGUUUGACCGGGGCGGUCGCCUCCGAAAGGGUAUCGGAGGCGCUCAAAGGUCUCCUCAGGAUGGUUGGAAACCAUCCAGAGAGUGCAAAGGCAGAAGGAGGCUUGACUGCGACACCGACGGGUGGAGCAGGUACGAAAGUAGGACUUAGUGAUCCGGUGGCAUAAAGUGGGAUUGCCAACGCUCAACGGAUAAAAGCUACCCUGGGAUAACAGGCUUAUCACUCCCAAGAGUUCACAUCGACGGAGUGGUUUGGCACCUCGAUGUCGGCUCAUCGCAUCCUGGAGCUGGAGCAGGUUCCAAGGGUUGGGCUGUUCGCCCAUUAAAGCGGUACGCGAGCUGGGUUCAGAACGUCGUGAGACAGUUCGGUCCCUAUCCGGCGCGGGCGCAGGAUAUCUGAGAGGAGCUGUCCUUAGUACGAGAGGACCGGGAUGGACCGUCCGCUGGUGGACCGGUUGUCAUGCCAAUGGCACGGCCGGGUAGCCAAGACGGGAAGGGAUAAACGCUGAAGGCAUCUAAGCGUGAAGCCCCCCUCAAGAUGAGAUAUCCAUACUCGAAAGAGUGAGAGACCCCUUAGAGACGAUGAGGUAGAUAGGGCAGAGAUGGAAGUGCAGCGAUGCAUGGAGUUGACUGUUACUAAUCGGUCGAAAGCUU